UACGUAGGGGGCUAGCGUUGUCCGGAUUUAUUGGGCGUAAAGAGCGUGUAGGCGGUCAGAUAGGUCAGCUGUGAAAACUCGAGGCUCAACCUCGAGAUGUCGGCUGAAACCAUCUGGCUAGAGUCCGGAAGAGGAGAAUGGAAUUCCCGGUGUAGCGGUGAAAUGCGCAGAUAUCGGGAAGAACACCCGUGGCGAAGGCGGUUCGCUGGGACGGUACUGACGCUGAGACGCGAAAGCGUGGGGAGCGAACAGG
This 253-nucleotide ribosomal RNA is filed under the name uncultured bacterium. Its description in RNAcentral is "partial 16S ribosomal RNA". It matches the Rfam family "Bacterial small subunit ribosomal RNA", at positions 524 to 776 of the family's 1533-position model. The record is from RNAcentral.